Molecule: long non-coding RNA, 283 nt
Organism: Xiphophorus hellerii (green swordtail)
Lineage: Eukaryota; Metazoa; Chordata; Actinopteri; Cyprinodontiformes; Poeciliidae
Exons: 3
Source: RefSeq, a predicted model, not a curated record
GAGUCUUUGUCUCCAAACACCUGGCGAGGCACACAGACCGCACGUCUCAUCACUUUGUUCAAACAUUAAUGUGUGCACUUGUUUAGGUUGCUUUUUCAGAAUAUUUUCAGAUUGCUAAUUUUGCUAACGUGUUUCUCCUGACUUCCUGACAGGUAGUAAAAUUAUUAAUGUUCUGAAGUGGCCCAGUCAAAGAUUUGAAAAUGUUUAUUUUAGCAUUUAGUGGCAAAGAGGCCUUCCAAGUUAAAAGACUCGGAGAGCAAUACUAAACACAAAUUACAGACGU